This 3737-nucleotide long non-coding RNA is filed under the name Equus caballus (horse). RNAcentral describes it as "lncRNA (ENSECAG00000048156.1)". The record is from RNAcentral. Lineage: Eukaryota; Metazoa; Chordata; Mammalia; Perissodactyla; Equidae.
GCGGGCCACGGCCGGGACCUCCCCUGACGCGGCCUUCCCGGCGUCCGGACAGACGGGGUUCAGCAAAAGGAGUCCCCUGCCCCGCGUCCCUCCACAGCCAGAGUCUGUCUAACCACGCGCACUGACAGGAAGGAAACCCAGGCUGUCACUGUCCUGUUACUGGGUCUUCCCUGGCCUCCCUGCGGCUGGUCACAUCCACCCGCGCGGUUCCCCUUUGAUGGCAAGUCGCUAGUGGCAUCCAUCCUCUACAGCCUUCAGCUUUCUCCUGCCAGUGGUUCUCGAAGGUUGCUACCCGUUAGAAUCAUCUGGGGAGCUUUUAAAAACCCUGAUGCUCAGACUGCACCCAGACCAAUGAAAUCAGAACCACGUGGAAGCCGGGCAGCCGCAGUUUGAAAAGUUCCCCAGACUAGCCCUGAGCUAACAUCCCUGCUGAUCUUCCUCUACUUUAUAUGUGGGACGCCUACCACAGCAUGGCUUUCCAAGCAGUCCCAUGUCCGCAUCCAGGAUCUGAACCGGUGAACACUGGGCAGCUAAAGCGGAACGUGGGAACUUAGCCACUCUGCCACGGGGCCGGCCCCUGAAUUAUUUUUCAUUUGGGCAGAAUUCACUUUAUUUUUGCUUCCCAGGUAUUUCCUACUUUUGGCGUUGCUUUUGUGUUUGCUCCUUGCUCAGGAAAGCUGCCACAGUGCCAUUUUCUCUAAUAUUGGUGGAACACUUGGAUAUCUGCUACUGACAAGUCAUCGUGUGUGGUGCUGUCUGCAAAGAUGGCCAUGCACAGCCUGUCUCUAUUUGCACAUGCUGCUCCUCUCCUUGAAAUGUGGAAUCUAUUCCCCUCCCCUUGAAUCUAGCCUGGCCUUGGGACUGACUUUGACCAGUGGAAGGAGAUAGAAAGAUUGCUCUUCCAGUUCUGGGCCCCGGCCUUUUGCUUUCUUGCCCCUGACCCACCACGUAAAGUCCAGUCUGUCCCGCUGGGCAGAGAGCCAGUAGCCAACCUUGAGGCCCCAAGUGUGUGAGACAGGCCCUAGCCAUCUAGCCUGGCCAGCACCACAUGAAACAGUCCUGAGAAACGACUGCUGAGCUCUGCCUGCAGUUCUGGCCCACAGAGUCAGGAGCAAUAAAAUGGUUUUGUGGUUUAAGCCAUUCGAUUUUAGGGUGGUUUGUUACAUAGCAAUAACUAACUGAAACAGCAUACUCUCUGGACCCUAAUUUCUUCAUUUGCAAAAUGGUGGGUCUGUCUUCCAUCUUUGAGAUCAAGCCACCUCCUCUGUAACUGGUGUCUGACUUUCUCACUACAAAUGAGCCUUUCAGUACCUGGUUCCCAAAUAAGGGUUUGAAAUCAGUUAAUGUGGCCCUGAAUCCUAGAGACUGCCAGCACUAAUGCGGCUGAAAUUCAUCCAGGAAAACGGAAGAAUGUACCCUGUCAAAGCACUGGCUUUGGAGUGGGAGUCCCUGCCUUUGAAUUCUAGAUCUGCCACUUCCUGGCUGUCUGAGCUUGGACAAAUUUCCUUCUCCAAGUCUCAGUCUCCUCAUCUGUAAAAUGGGGAUAAUGAUAGUACCUGCUAUAUGUGAGGAUUAAAUCAAAUGAUGUCCGUACAUUGCUUAGCAUGUGCCUAGAGUGUUGAAGGUAUUCAGUAAAUGGUAACUAUUCUCCUUGUUGCUUCCUGUAAUAUUUUUUGCUUGUACACCUGUCUAUAGAGGGAGUACCAAUUAACCAAACAUGAUAAUCUAAGCUUGCCCCAGCCAAUCAGAAAAUGAAAUUACACAUUGUCAGGGGCAUCCCUACCAUUGGCGUCUAUUAUCUCUGUAGGUUCAGAGACAAUUUAAAAGAUUUCUUUUGGUAAAAAAAUAACAGACUGCAGGGGAGGGGCAUAAGGAAGAAACUGGAUAAUGAUCUGCUUUUUCUAAAAAGAUAUUGCUCACUGAGUUUAUGAUUAGGGGAAGGUUGCAUGAAAAGGAUUUAAAAAAUUAAUUUGUGGCUCUCUCGAAAUAAAGCCCAAGAAAGCAGCACAUUGGUUUAGCACAUUUUUAGAGAAAAACAACAGAGGAGCAAGAGAAAUCAAAACCUAACCUUCUCCCAUCUGCCACAGAUGAUUUUGUAGCUCUCUGCGAGAAUCUCAUUACCAUCUUCUAAGAUGCUGACGGUGCCACCAGCAAAACAGAGAGGGAGAAAGGGGCACACCCACCCACGCAGCACACACUCACACCACCUGAGCCUGCUCUGGCAGUGAGGUGACUAGACAGAAACCUGGUCCUCUCUCCCAGUUCCCCACUUCCUCCAGGAAUUCCAUAGGCAGACACAAGCUCCGUUUCAGCAAGGAGAGAGUUACCUUUAAAGAAUAUCUGCUCCAGGCAGCAGGAACAACGAGGAGGAGUGAUUGGCCUAGCGAAGACAAGAAUAACACUGAAAACCCACAUUUGCUUCUAGUUCUGGGCCUCCUGGGUCUGUUCUCUCCUGGCUAUAUUUUCAAAUGCUACAUCUUCUGGAGCGUUUCAAACCUGGGCCUGCCGGAUUUGAGGUGCAGGGAAAAUGGACUCCCCCCCAACUCCUCAAAUCACCUUCCCACCUUGCUUUCAAAAGGAAGGCAAGACAAUACAAGACUGUUCUCGAAUGGCUUUCACCUACUGGGGCUGUCAAAAGAAUUUCGAGUUUUGAGAUGAAAAGGAGGAAAGGAGGCCAAGUCCAGAGAUGAUUCCCAAGGAGGUUUUAAGGAAUACUGAUUUUUUCACCAUCUUUCUAAAUCUUCUUUUUGGAGAAAUGUGUGAGGCUGGAACCUGUGUGUGUGUGUGUGUGUAUUCACACACACACAUACCUACAUAUGUACACAUGUGCACACACACAUAUACAUGUGAAUGAAGCUAAUACCACCCAGGAAUUUACUCUCUUUAGCAAUAUUGGAAUCCAUGAGAUUCUAGAAAUCUGCUAAGCCUCUCAGGAACUCAUGAUUCAACUGGAUCCUUUUAUGGGGCCAGAAUCGUAGAAACUCAAGUCCAAAGGGUCACUUUAACUUCAUCCAGUGCGAUUUCAAUCCAGAGUCACUUGACUUCUUUGCCCCAGUCUCCUUGUCUAGAGAUGUCUUAGGUCCCCAAAGUAUUGCCCAUUUGCUGUCCCCUUGUCCCCCAAAACUCUGACCACAUGAGCAGGGGGCUCCUUUCUUAUGAGGAUCCCCUAAGGACUUCAGGGUUCAUGUGGGCAGAUGGGUAGGUCUACAGGGCUGAUGAUAAAGUAAAAAUAAACCACAUAAUGCUCUGGUGGUCAGUCGGUUUAAUGCCAUGAGACCUUGGGCUGGAACUUUUAACUUGCUAACUUCAUCAUUCAUGAACUAAAUGACAACACUGAAUUACUUUCAGGAGAGUCUCAGCUAAGGCUGUAAAAAUUAGCACUAGUUGAACCUAACAUGAAUCAACUAGUCCUUUACGGUUGUGAGGGACUCCGACUAGCUUAAGCAAACAGAGGGAAUGUAUUGACUCCCAUCACCGAGAAGGGCAGGGCCAGUGCGCUCAGACAAGCCACUAGAGCUCUUUGUAUCUCUCUAUUGGCUUUGUUCUCUCCUAUGGCUGGUGGAUAAAGGGAGGUGUGGAUGCAGACAGUUCCAUUCUUAUGUCAUCACAGCUUAGCAACCCCUGAAGACAGAAAGGUUGUUCUCCCAAUAUCUGUGAAAUCAAAGGGAAAAUUCCUGCUUGGUGCAGCUGGGAUCAUGCAUCCACCAUUUGGGCAACCACUGAGGAGAGAGGGAUGG